This 64-nucleotide transfer RNA is filed under the name Paramastax nigra. RNAcentral describes it as "tRNA-Ala". Lineage: Eukaryota; Metazoa; Arthropoda; Insecta; Orthoptera; Eumastacidae. The record is from RNAcentral.
AGGAUUAUAGUUAAAUAUAACAUUUGGGUUGCAUUCAAAAAGUAUUGUUAAUCAAUUAAUCUUA